RNAcentral lists this non-coding RNA (30 nucleotides) under Mus musculus (house mouse). The record is from RNAcentral. Lineage: Eukaryota; Metazoa; Chordata; Mammalia; Rodentia; Muridae.
UAAGCCUCUACUAAGGUUUGCCUUCCUUUC